CUACGGGCUGCUGCAGUGAGGAAUAUUGCACAAUGGGGGGAACCCUGAUGCAGCAACGCCGCGUGGAGGAUGACGCAUUUCGGUGUGUAAACUCCCUUUAUAUGUCAAGAAAAUGACGGUAGCAUAUGAAUAAGCACCGGCUAACUCCGUGCCAGCAGCCGCGGUAAUACGGAGGGUGCAAGCGUUACUCGGAAUCACUGGGCGUAAAGGACGCGUAGGCGGGUUGGAAAGUCAGGUGUGAAAUCCUACAGCUUAACUGUAGAACUGCACUUGAAACUUCUAAUCUAGAGUAUGGGAGAGGGAGAUGGAAUUAGUGGUGUAGGGGUAAAAUCCGUAGAUAUCACUAGGAAUACCUAAAGCGAAGGCGAUCUCCUGGAACAUUACUGACGCUAAGGCGUGAAAGCGUGGGGAGCAAACAGGAUUAGAUACCCUUGUAGUC
Molecule: ribosomal RNA, 439 nt
Filed under: uncultured bacterium
Lineage: Bacteria
Description: partial 16S ribosomal RNA
Rfam family: Bacterial small subunit ribosomal RNA
Source: RNAcentral